Cydia strobilella is the source of this 2921-nucleotide long non-coding RNA. RefSeq lists it as uncharacterized. The transcript has 3 exons. Lineage: Eukaryota; Metazoa; Arthropoda; Insecta; Lepidoptera; Tortricidae. The record is from RefSeq and is a predicted model, not a curated record.
UUGGCACCGGCGCGGCGGUAGGGGUCGGCGUCGCUGGCUUGGCUACUGGUGGGCUUGCUGGCUACGCUCUCGGCGGCGGGUUCAGUAGCGACAGUCCACCACGGGAGGAGGUAUCGGUCGCCGAAUUCGGUGGUGGCGAUGAUUGGAUGGAAUAAAUACAAAACAUACAUACCUAAUUAGUAUUUUAUAUAAUUAAGCAUCAGAACAAAGCAGUCGAGGUUUCGUAAAAGCGGAUGAUUUUUAGAUAAUCAGUAUUAUUUACAGAAUAUACACCGUUUUUUUCACACUGUGUGAGGCUUAGCCACACUGAGGGGUGAAUAUGUGGAUUAUACUGAACCAUUACCAAACUUGGCUCAGUAGUUAUGACGCGACGGUUGAUAACAAAACAGACAGAUACAUACGUAGACACUAGACAUAGAUAUAUAUAUAUCAUAUACAGGUUGGCAAAAGAAUAAGUGCAUUCCCGUUGCCAGGGAGGUUUUGGGAUUAUACUGAGCAACUUUUACUAUGGAACCAACCACGAAAUCGCGAAAAAAAUAAUUCACCCAUAGAAAAUGGAACAGCCAAAAUGUAUAAAACAGCCAAAUUUUCUUUCGCGAUUUCGGGGUUGGUCCCAUAGUAAAAGUUGCUCAGUAUAAUCCCAAAACCUCCUUGGCAACGAGAAUGCACUUAUUUUUAGGCCACCCGCAUACGAAACUGUUAUAGUCGUAAAAAGAUAAAUCUCUUCUACAAAACACCGACUGUUCAGCUUCAUUUAUGUAGGUAUUACUACGAAGUUAGCUUUAAAAUAUAUAGUAUUGUUACGAGUAAUAUUGGCAAUUGGUAAGAGAUAUUUUUAAGAUAAUUAUGUGAGAUGCCUUAAAGGAGCCUUGAAAUAAACAUUUUUAGAUCCCUAUGCUUUUCAUACAUCCAUACAAUAAUAUUAUAAAUGCGAAAGUCUGUCUGUGUGUUCCCUCUUCACGCUUAAACCGCUGAAUCGAUUUAAAUUAAAUUUGGCAUAGAGAUAGAUAAGUCCCUGAGCAGGACAUAGGAUAGUUUUUAUCCCGAAAAUCAUCCCUUAAGAAAGUAAAAAGCGGGGUGGAAUUGAGAUAAUUAAUUAAGUGCCUGCUAAUUUGUGUGCAUAAUAUGCUCAAGAAUUUUUCCAGGCGCUAUAUUUACUUUAGCUGCUGUUACUAAGUCCACGCAGACGAAGUCGCGGGCAAAAGCUAGUUAUCAAAUAAAUAGAAUAGAAUAGUAAAUGCGUGGUCAAUAAUGUACCAUCCUAAAUGGCUAAAAAGCUUAAGUUCAAGCGUUUUGUACAACAUAAUACAUGGUGCCUGUGCCUACUGUCUAGCCGAAACGUACGACAACUUGUCUUGCUAUUUCAGUCAGCAGUGCCGGCCCGACUCCUUGAUCAGGGUAGAGCGAAAUGAGGGCUAACGCGUAUGAAUUCGCCGCUAGGGGCGCUAGUGUAGAUGGUGGUCUUUUCCAUAGUUCUAAAUGUCAGAUGUCACUUUAAUGACUGACAGCUGUUCUUUAGUCUUUUGGACCACCAUCAACAGAGGCGCCAACUGGUAAGCAAAAAAACGAUAGCCCCCAUUGGGUUUUGGCGCCCUUCGUUGAAGUUUUUUACCCAAAAGCACAACGCGUCUUUUAAAACUUAUUUUUUUUCUCAUUUGCCAUUUUGGCGCCCCCAUUGCCAUCCGGCGCCUAGAGCGGCCGCUCCACUCGCUCUACCCUAGAUCCGGCCCUGUCAGUCAGUCUCGGUACAAAAAACCGGCCAAGUGCGAGUAGGACUCGCGUUCCAAGGGUUUCGACAAUUUAAACCCAUGUAUUUUUAUAUGAAACGUGAGUGAAAUAUCUUUUAAAAACCCGUAGGGGUCGGAACAAACGACUGCACAUUUCUAAUAGGUUUUCCGGUGAUCUAUAGGUAUAGAACUAUUUUGUGUACUUUUUUCAAAAUUUUUGACUUAGUAGUUUCGGAGAUAAAGGGGGGGGGAUGGUAAUCUUUUGCCUAUUUUCUUGAAUAACUUCUAAACUGUUUAUUCUAAAAUGAUAAAAAAAUAUAUAUUUGAUAUUCUCACAAUAAGCUCUUUCAUUUAAUAUGUAACAUGAUAUAGUUUGAAAAACUUUAUUUUUUAAUUUUCUCAUUUACCCCCAAAAGUGGCCCCCAUGUUUAAAAUUCAUUUGUUUAUGUUACAUGUCCGUCUUUGGGUCACAAACUUACAUAUGUGUACCAAAUUUCAACUUAAUUGGUCCAGUAGUUUCGGAGAAAAUUGGCUGUGACAGACGGAUAGACAGACGCACGAGUGAUCCUAUAAGGGUUCCGUUUUUUCCUUUUGAGGUACGGAACCCUAAAAAGUACUGAGGUUGACUGAAGUAGCAUGACAAAUACGAACGUUUCCGAGAAAAUACGAUGGAAAACAAUCAUGCACUACAUCUGUAACGAAAUGAGAAUGUAAAUUGGUCCAAAAUAGCUUUUUUUUUUCAAUCUUUUGUUGAGAAUAUCCAAAAAUAUGAUAUAUGACUGUUAAUUUAUAUGGGCUGCUGUAUAUUGCACUGCGUCGUUAAAAAAAAGCACGAAGUGUGAAAUUUGCGUAAAGAAAUUAUACGACGUUGUAUAGUUAAUGGUCUAUCUUUUUUUGUACUUAUUCGUGAUUUUUUUUAAUAAUUUUUAGGACUUCAUACAUACGUAAGCAGGAACUAGGAUUGCCCGACUCGUUUUGUAAGUGUCUAGCCUGCACCUCGGCUGGCAACUUGUCCCGGCCUAUAAUCUGUAGCGAUGUACACAAUCCUAAUAUUUUAAAGUCAUUUAGUUAUUUUCUUGUUAAAAUAUAUGUGGUAUUCAUUGUAUUUACAAAAUAAAUGCAAGCAUUUUCAUCUGUCGAUUUAAAUAGAAUAUUGCAUGCCAUUUAAUAAAUCAAUAUAUCGGUUUGUUGUGA